This 96-nucleotide signal recognition particle RNA is filed under the name Coriobacteriia bacterium. RNAcentral describes it as "signal recognition particle sRNA small type". It matches the Rfam family "Bacterial small signal recognition particle RNA". Rfam says of the family: The signal recognition particle (SRP) is a universally conserved ribonucleoprotein involved in the co-translational targeting of proteins to membranes. Lineage: Bacteria; Bacillati; Actinomycetota; Coriobacteriia. The record is from RNAcentral.
UCGAUGGAUUCGGGCGGCGUUAUGCCACGAACCUGGUCAGGACCGGAAGGUAGCAGCCAUAAGUGGUCUAUGGCGAGCGCCCGGGUCUAUCGAGGA